UCUCUCUUUCUCUCUCUUUCUAGCAACUCAAAGGACAAAAUGAAGACCACGACAGAAGCACCAAAGAAACUGCAGGAAAAGAGAAGAAAAGGCCAGUCAAAAACCACGCACACAUUGCACACAUGGCCGUCCCUGGGGCAUUUACACUUGUCCACGUAGGCUUAAUCCCCUUGAGGGACCAGGGAAAAGGACCUCUCUGUAAACAGGGAUCAAGGUCCGCUCCUUGCCAAGAGAAACGCUUUAUGGGCCCAUUCCGCACCUGCGGCUGAGAGACCACCCUUUAAGAAGGGUUGAGGUCUCUGUGGAUUUCAGCUCUUUCGGACUUAGUCUUUAACAUGCCCUGUGCCACUGACCUCUCCCUGUAAGAAGGGUGCAGGUCUCCCCUUUCUAGCUUGUCUUGGGCCGCUGGCACUUGCUGGGCAAAGAGACCACCCUCUACUGAGGGGAUGGAGGUCUCUCCUUUUCAGUGCUCUUGGCUCUGGCCCAUUGAAAUGCCCCUGGCUUAAGGACCACCCUGUAAGGAGGGUUUGGGUCUCCUUCGCCAGGCUUAUUUAGCCACAGGUCACCUUAACACGCCAGGCAAAAGACUGCCCUGUAACCAGGGUUUAAGGUCUUAUCCCUCUCGUUCUUAAACUAGGAGAGCCUCUUUGUGCCUGUGGCCGAGUGACCCCCCUGUAAGAAGGGUUGAGGUUCUACUUCUGUUAGUCGCAGGAAAUUCCCCUAGAGUGAUUUCUAUUUGGCUUUUUUGGGCUUUGACGUGAAAUCUUAUUUGUGACCCGUGUAGUUCCUCUCCGGGUCACAUGUAACCUGGUGUGGCGAAGGGGCGGCUGUAAGGGGAUGGUGGAGGCCGUGAAAAAUUCGACCCUUCUUUCCCAGAGAGCCAAGAAAUCGUCCCAAAUUCCGUAUGUCACAAAGUCUGGAACUGAACAGGUGAGGAAGGGGGCUCCUUUCAGAGCCUCACUUCCAUGCAAUCCUUCCUCAUUUCCUCUUGCCCUGCCCAACUGACACUGCCCAAUCAACCUCAGCUUUGAGCCCUUGUUUGACUCGGCACAAGAAAGACAUGGCUGCACGUAUCAUUGUUAGUGGUAUAGAUUCGGAGAGCUGUGUACGUUGUGUCCCAUUUCCAGGCCUUUUGUUUCUCGGGUGAUAGACCCAGGCUAUUCCUAGGGCUGUGUUUGAAGUGAUUGAUGUGGCUGUCCUUUCGGAAAUGUGCUGAUGCUCAGCUGGGGUAGGUACGUGGCAUGGUAUUCAGAGCUUGCACGUGGGUGCACCUAACCCUACUAACAGGACUGUGUCACAAGUAAGGGGUGUCUUUUUUGGUCACGGUCAGGGGGCACAAAGUUGAAAUUUUCUUGGUGGGGUAGGAAGGUAAGUCGGGAAGGGUGUUGCCGAGGAAUGGAGGAUUUAAUGGUAAUGGGAGACUCAGCGGGAUUCCUCCCUUACCUGUUCAUUUCCAGAUCUUUUCCCAUUGGGGACUUUCCUCCCCUUCUUUAAAGGAGGACUAUUUUUCUAAAGAAAGGGUGACCGCCCUAUACUCAGGGAUCAGGUCUGUUUCCCUUUUCUCCUCUCGGCAUUGGCCCUCUUAAUGCCAAAGUUACUGGCUGGGCAAAGAGACCCUCCUCUACCGAGGGAAUGGAGGUCUCUCCUUUUCCGCGCUCUUGGCAAUGGCCCAUUGAAAUGUCCCUGGCUUAAGGACCACCCUGUAAGGAGGGUUUGGGUCUCCUUCGCCAUGCUUAUGGCGCCACGGGUCACUUUGACACGCCAGGCAAAAGGACUGCCCUGUAACCAGGGUGUAAGGUCUUACCCCUCUCAUUCUUGAACGAGGAGAGCCUUUUUGUGCCUGUGGCUGAGUGACCCCCCUGUAAGAAGGGUCGAGGUCACUCUGGCUUUCUAUUAUUUAGGACCCAGCCUUUGCAAUGCCCUGUGCCAUUGACCUCUCCCUGUAAGAAGGGUGCAGGUCUCCCAUUUCUAGCUUGUCUUGGGCCGCUGGCACUUGCUGGGCAAAGAGACCACCCUCUACCGAGGGAAUGGAGGUCUCUCCUUUUCCGCGCUCUUGGCAAUGGCCCAUUGAAAUGUCCCUGGCUUAAGGACCACCCUGUAAGGAGGGUUUGGGUCUCCUUCGCCAUGCUUAUGGCGCCACGGGUCACUUUGACACGCCAGGCAAAAGGACUGCCCUGUAUCCAGGGUGUAAGGUCUUACCCCUCUCAUUCUUGAACGAGGAGAGCUUUUUUGUGCCUGUGGCUGAGUGACCCCCCUGUAAGAAGGGUCGAGGUCACUCUGGCUUUCUAUUAUUUAGGACCCAGCCUUUGCAAUGCCCUGUGCCAUUGACCUCUCCCUGUAAGAAGGGUGCAGGUCUCCCAUUUCUAGCUUGUCUUGGGCCGCUGGCACUUGCUGGGCAAAGAGACCACCCUCUACCGAGGGAAUGGAGGUCUCUCCUUUUCCGCGCUCUUGGCAAUGGCCCAUUGAAAUGUCCCUGGCUUAAGGACCACCCUGUAAGGAGGGUUUGGGUCUCCUUCGCCAUGCUUUUGGCGCCACGGGUCACUUUGACACGCCAGGCAAAAGGACUGCCCUGUAACCAGGGUGUAAGGUCCUAUUCCUCUCGUUCUUAAACUAGGAGCACCUCUUUGUGCCUGUGGCUGACUGACCCCCCCUUUAAGAAGGGUUGAGGUUCUACUUCUGUUAGUCACUGUAAAUUGCACUAGAAUGAUUUCUACUUGGCUUUUCUGGGUUCUGAAGUGAAAUCUCAUUUGUGUCCCAUGUGUUUCCUGUUCGGGUCACAUGGAACCUGGUGUGGCGAAGGGGCGGCUGUAAGGGGAUGGUGGAGGCCGUGAAAAAUUCAACCCUUUCUUCAAAAAAGCCAAGAAAUCACCAAAGUCCAAAGUGAGCUCCCUCUAACUAGGGUGUAGGUCUUUCCCUCACUUUCCCAAGAUUACACUCCCCUUUGAAAGCUAGUUACAGAAACCAGCCUCUUGAGAGAGUUAAGGGUUUGCCCUUGUAGCUGCCCUGAGCCCGUGGCCUCCUCACGCUCUCAGCCAAGUCAAAGCCCGGCGUACUCUGCAUCCAGCUGGCCCUGACUUCUGCUGCAAGCUCUCCUGCCUUCUGCUACGGAUUGGUGCCGAAACCUAGGAAUUGGGCAACUCAAAGGACAAAAUGAAGACCACGACAGAAGAAAC
This is a non-coding RNA of Chrysemys picta bellii (western painted turtle), 3173 nucleotides long. Lineage: Eukaryota; Metazoa; Chordata; Testudines; Emydidae. The record is from RefSeq and is a predicted model, not a curated record.